Molecule: non-coding RNA, 259 nt
Organism: Salmo salar (Atlantic salmon)
Lineage: Eukaryota; Metazoa; Chordata; Actinopteri; Salmoniformes; Salmonidae
Source: RefSeq, a predicted model, not a curated record
AGGUUACCAGUUUAAAUGGCAGGGCCCCAUGUCUGGAUUUGAAAGGUGAGCGAUUAGACCACCUUUCCUGCGAGGCUCUGGAAGUCAUACUGAAAUCACUGAGCUUUGAUUUCAUCAAUCUGCAAGCGGCAGAGCUGGAGGAAAAUGGAGCAUCAUCCUUGCUGGAUAUGAUUUUGUAUUAUGAAUCUACCCCCCAUCUUGACAUCUCUGACAACACCGGCAUGGGGAUAUCUGGUUGGAAGGCCCUCUCUCAUUUGAU